Molecule: small RNA, 107 nt
Filed under: Marmota monax (woodchuck)
Lineage: Eukaryota; Metazoa; Chordata; Mammalia; Rodentia; Sciuridae
Source: RNAcentral
GCUGGGUGUAGUAGCAUAUGCCUGUAAUUCUAGUCACCCAGGAGGCUAAGACAGGAGGAUUGCAAGUUCAAAGCCAGACUUAGCAACUUAGCAAGACCCUGUCUCAA